GGUUGCGAUCAUACCAGCUCUAAUGCACCGGAUCCCAUCAGAACUCCGCAGUUAAGCGUGCUUGGGCGAGAGUAGUACUAGGAUGGGUGACCCCCUGGGAAGUCCUCGUGUUGCAACCC
This 119-nucleotide ribosomal RNA is filed under the name Helianthus annuus (common sunflower). Lineage: Eukaryota; Viridiplantae; Streptophyta; Magnoliopsida; Asterales; Asteraceae. The record is from RNAcentral.